UCCCAUUUAAGUACAUAAAUCCGCUGCCCCUUGGUGCGCAACAAGCCGCCUUCUACCCAGAAUUGCUUGGUUUUGCCUUCUUUAGCCAUCUGCAUGAGUUGCUUGGCUAGAGGAUCAUGCGCCAUGCCUUCCUUAAUAAGGUUUUGGACAAGUCUUGACGUAUAACUCUAUGUCGUCCCGCAUGCGAGGCCAAUAGUAGUUAACCUCUACCAAAGCUUGAGUGCGUUUUUGACCUGGAUGACCAGCCCAGCGGGUGUCAUGGCACUCCUUAAUGAUACUUUUGCGCAACCUCUCCCAUUUAGGUACAUAAAUCUGCUGCCCCUUGGUGCGCAACAAGCCGCCUUCUACCCAGAAUUGCUUGGUUUUGCCUUCUUUAGCCAUCUGCAUGAGUUGCUUGGCUAAAGGAUCAUGCUCCAUGCCUUCCUUAAUAAGAUCUAAGAGCUCCACCUAGACUCUUGACAUUGCUGCGAAUUCUGAUUUUCGGCUAAGCGCAUCUGCCACAAAGUUGGCCUUGCCCGGUUUGUGUUCCAACACGUAGUCGAACUCGGCCAAGAAAUCUUGCCAUCUUGCUUGCUUGGGGCUGAGUUUCUUCUGUGUUUGAAAAUAACUUGUCGC
RNAcentral lists this long non-coding RNA (615 nucleotides) under Nicotiana benthamiana. RNAcentral's name for it is "long non-coding RNA (NBEN_LNC018936)". Lineage: Eukaryota; Viridiplantae; Streptophyta; Magnoliopsida; Solanales; Solanaceae. The record is from RNAcentral.